CAAAGGAAGCGAUUCCGGCGGGGGAUGGGCAUGCGGCGCAUUAGCUAGUCGGCGGGGUAACGGCCCACCGAGGCGACGAUGCGUAGGGGUUCUGAGAGGAAGGUCCCCCACACUGGUACUGAGACACGGACCAGACUCCUACGGGAGGCAGCAGUGAGGAAUAUUGGUCAAUGGGCGGGAGCCUGAACCAGCCAAGUCGCGUGAGGGAAGACGGUCCUAUGGAUUGUAAACCUCUUUUGCCGGGGAGCAACGGGGUCCUUGCGAGGGCCUAAUGAGAGUACCCGGAGAAAAAGCAUCGGCUAACUCCGUGCCAGCAGCCGCGGUAAUACGGAGGAUGCGAGCGUUAUCCGGAUUUAUUGGGUUUAAAGGGUGCGUAGGCGGGCUGUUAAGUCAGCGGUCAAAUGUCGGGGCUCAACCCCGGCCUGCCGUUGAAACUGGUGGCCUCGAGUGGGCGAGAAGUAUGCGGAAUGCGUGGUGUAGCGGUGAAAUGCAUAGAUAUCACGCAGAACUCCGAUUGCGAAGGCAGCAUACCGGCGCCCGACUGACGCUGAGGCACGAAAGCGUGGGUAUCGAACAGGAUUAGAUACCCUGGUAGUCCACGCAGUAAACGAUGAAUGCUAGCUGUCCGGGGCUUCGGCUCUGG
This 643-nucleotide ribosomal RNA is filed under the name uncultured bacterium. RNAcentral describes it as "bacterial SSU rRNA". It matches the Rfam family "Bacterial small subunit ribosomal RNA", at positions 202 to 842 of the family's 1533-position model. The record is from RNAcentral.